Molecule: ribosomal RNA, 496 nt
Filed under: uncultured bacterium
Lineage: Bacteria
Description: bacterial SSU rRNA
Rfam family: Bacterial small subunit ribosomal RNA
Source: RNAcentral
ACUCAAAGGAAUUGACGGGGGCCCGCACAAGCGGUGGAGUAUGUGGCUUAAUUCGAUGCAACGCGAAGAACCUUACCUGGCCUUGACAUGCUUUGGACCGGCGCUGAAAAGCGCCUUCUCUUCGGAGCCGGAGCACAGGUGCUGCAUGGCUGUCGUCAGCUCGUGUCGUGAGAUGUUGCGUUAAGUCGCGCAACGAGCGCAACCCCUGUCCUUAGUUGCCAGCAUUCAGUUGGGCACUUUAAGGAGACAAGCUCUCUCUGAGAGCGGGAAGGUGGGGAUGACGUCAAGUCAGGAUGGCCCUUACGGCCAGGGCUGCACACGUACUACAAUGCCCGGUACAGAGGGGUGCUAUGCCGCGAGGCAAUGCAAAUCUCAAAAACCGGGCCCAGUUCAGAUUGUAGUCUGCAACUCGACUACAUGAAGUUGGAAUCGCUAGUAAUGGCGCAUCAGCUACGGCGCCGUGAAUACGUUCCCGGGCCUUGUACACACCGCCCGU